Molecule: ribosomal RNA, 624 nt
Filed under: uncultured bacterium
Lineage: Bacteria
Description: bacterial SSU rRNA
Rfam family: Bacterial small subunit ribosomal RNA
Source: RNAcentral
ACCUGCCCACCACUUGGGGAUAACCUUGCGAAAGUAAGACUAAUACCCAAUGAUAUCUCUAGAAGACAUCUGAGAGAGAUUAAAGAUUUAUCGGUGAUGGAUGGGGAUGCGUCUGAUUAGCUUGUUGGCGGGGUAACGGCCCACCAAGGCAACGAUCAGUAGGGGUUCUGAGAGGAAGGUCCCCCACAUUGGAACUGAGACACGGUCCAAACUCCUACGGGAGGCAGCAGUGAGGAAUAUUGGUCAAUGGACGAGAGUCUGAACCAGCCAAGUAGCGUGCAGGAUGACGGCCCUAUGGGUUGUAAACUGCUUUUAUAAGGGAAUAAAGUGAGUCUCGUGAGACUUUUUGCAUGUACCUUAUGAAUAAGGACCGGCUAAUUCCGUGCCGGCAGCCGCGGUAAUACGGAAGGUCCGGGCGUUAUCCGGAUUUAUUGGGUUUAAAGGGAGCGUAGGCCGGAGAUUAAGCGUGUUGUGAAAUGUAGACGCUCAACGUCUGCACUGCAGCGCGAACUGGUUUCCUUGAGUACGCACAAAGUGGGCGGAAUUCGUGGUGUAGCGGUGAAAUGCUUAGAUAUCACGAAGAACUCCGAUUGCGAAGGCAGCUCACUGGAGCGCAACUGACGC